Molecule: ribosomal RNA, 464 nt
Filed under: Orphilus niger
Lineage: Eukaryota; Metazoa; Arthropoda; Insecta; Coleoptera; Dermestidae
Description: partial 16S ribosomal RNA
Rfam family: Archaeal large subunit ribosomal RNA (bases 1-204)
Source: RNAcentral
GCCUGUUUAACAAAAACAUGUCUUUUUGAUUAUAAUUUAAAGUCUAGCCUGCCCACUGAAUAAUUAAAUGGCCGCGGUAUUUUAACCGUGCAAAGGUAGCAUAAUAAUUAGUUUUUUGAUUGGUAACUGGAAUGAAUGGUUGGACGAGAAAACUUCUGUCUCUGUAUUAAUAGAAGAAUUUAAUUUUUGAGUGAGAAAGCUUAAAUUUUAUUUAAAGACGAUAAGACCCUGUAGAGUUUUAUUGAUUAAAAUUAUUUUUUUUUAGGAAUUAAUGUUUAAAUUAGUAUUAAUCUUUUUUGUUGGGGUGAUUGAAAAAUUAGUUUAACUUUUUUUAUUUUAUUACAUUGAUUUAUGGAUAAUUGAGUAAUUUUUUAAAUAAGAUAAAGUUACCUCAGGGAUAACAGCGUUAUUAUUCUUUAAAGUUCUUAUUUGAAGAAUAGUUUGCGACCUCGAUGUUGGAUUAA